Molecule: ribosomal RNA, 449 nt
Filed under: uncultured bacterium
Lineage: Bacteria
Description: partial 16S ribosomal RNA
Rfam family: Bacterial small subunit ribosomal RNA
Source: RNAcentral
AACGAACGCUGGCGGCAGGCCUAACACAUGCAAGUCGAGCGAAGCCUUCGGGCUUAGCGGCGGACGGGUGAGUAACGCGUGGGAACGUGCCCUUUGGUACGGAAUAGCCCCGGGAAACUGGGAGUAAUACCGUAUGUGCCCUUCGGGGGAAAGAUUUAUCGCCGAAGGAUCGGCCCGCGUUGGAUUAGGUAGUUGGUGGGGUAAUGGCCUACCAAGCCGACGAUCCAUAGCUGGUUUGAGAGGAUGAUCAGCCACACUGGGACUGAGACACGGCCCAGACUCCUACGGGAGGCAGCAGUGGGGAAUCUUAGACAAUGGGGGAAACCCUGAUCUAGCCAUGCCGCGUGAUCGAUGAAGGCCUUAGGGUUGUAAAGAUCUUUCAGUGGGGAAGAUAAUGACUGUACCCACAGAAGAAGCCCCGGCUAACUCCGUGCCAGCCGCCGCGGUAA